AGGUAACCUGGGGAGGGAGAGAAUGAUAGUACCUUUAAUUACUACUGAUUUAUAUCUGUUCCCUGUCCAAUCCACCUCUAAAAUGUAUUCCCAUAGACCUAAGCAGCUUAGAAGUGGAUCUGAGGGAAUAUCAAGGAUGCAGAAACCCAGCAUGGGAAGGAGAAGCAAAGUGCUGCCUUAAACAUUGACACAUUGCCAGAUGUAGUGCUUUUUAACAUUGGUGUGGGCUUGUUCACACUUGUCAAAUCACACUGUGCUUGCUAAUGUUGCAUUUUCAUCAAAUAUAUUAGCUCCCUCUCUGUUCCCACUCUUCAGCAACCCUUUUCAUUUAUCCUUUCUUCCCUUCAUUCCACUGCUCUUUGUUUUUCCUUUUUUCCCUUAUCCUAGGGCUCCUUUCUUUCCGCCUGACUCCCCCUCACCUGAAAAAUCAGUCUGACCCAAUCUACAUUUUUUUUAGAACACGUAGGUUAAGCAGAUGCCUGCCUGGAGGAAUUUACAGUCUCAUCCUGUGUACAACAUGCAAGGAAUAAAUAGGCUGAUAUUCAAGAGUGGGAGUAGUAAUUGUCAGUCAGCAAUUGAAGGAUACAUGAAAGAAACAUGUUUGGGAUUUUCUUAGGGAAAAAAAAAGUGUAGCACUGGAUCGCUGACCUGAAGAAAAGGGAUGCUUUUCCUGGUGUGCCAAAGGGGGUAAUGAAGUAAAUGAAGAAAAUGAGGUAAUGUAAAUGUAAAAGUAAAUGAAGUAGUGGAGUUCAGACCCGGGGAGCAUUUUGUAUGGAAAACCUGGAUGCACGAGAAAUAACAGAUUACAGUGGGUGGGAGUUUCUUAUAGGUGAAAAAAAAGACUCUUAAAUUUGUGAAAAAAAUAGGUGGGGUUUAUGAAGGGAUUGAAAAAAAAAUAUGCUCAGAGCAGCAGAACAUCCCCUCUUCCCCUUUGUUUUUAAUCUAUGCAAUAGAAGAAAGUAUUCUAAUUCCUUUGCCCCCUUGGCACUUCCCCAUUUCCCUGUGUGAUGUGGAAGGAUAAAAAGAGAGAGCGUUGAGCUCAGGGUGUCUGAUUUGGUUGGACAGGAGAAAUACAGAAAAGAUCUUUGCCGAAGGCAGAUCUGUAGGCGGCAAGCAAGGGUGAGUGGAAAGGAAUUGUCCUGAAAGGCUCUUAUCCAGGAUCUCAUCUCAUUUCACCCGAGUGGGGGAUGUCUGACAAAUGCAGCCAGUUAAGCAAGGCCAGUGUUAAACCAGACUGCUGCCCUUCAGUGGUUUGAGAGCUGCUGCUAGAGGGAGAAUGCUAAGCAGUACAAAAUCCUGAAGGAUCACUAAGAUAGCCUGAGCUAUGUAGGUUAUGCUGUUUAGCUGGUAUUGGGUGCUCUUAGGGGCAGAUAUCAUGUUAUAAUCUUUUUUUUUCUUUUUUUUUCUUUUUUUUUUUUUUUUCUCUAGGUUGGAAUUCUUUGUGUUCUUAUGGUGAAAAAUGGUAAUGGGUUUAAAUCUUCUCUUCAGAUUGACAACCUUUUACAAACCUCAAAGAAGAUUUUUGCCAAGGAAGGAGCUUCUGCUCUCCUGGUAAUAUCUGUACUGUGAUAUGUGUAAAUUUGUACAAAAACCAAAACAAAACAAAAAAGCACAACCAACAAAUGAGUUCUAGAAACACAGCCAGUGGGGACUCAGUUCCUAAGUUCUGCCAGCUCCUUCAUGGAUUCAGCAUCUUUGCUGAGUGGGUCACAAAAUGGGCUUUGGGCUUUGGUACCUUUCUCAAAAUCUGUAUAUUCAGCUCUUCAUCUUGCAGUACGGCUGUUAUUCCUCAUAUUCAGGGACUAAAGGUAUGGACUUGGGUAGGAUUCUAGCAGGCCUGCUGCACUGGAAGCCCAGGGAAAGUUCUGAUCAGGUCAGUUACGCUGUGGAAGCAGAGACAGCUUCUUGACCCACCAAUAUUAUGGAAGAAGAACUACAGUUCUCCUUCACCUCCAUCUCUCAUUAUCCUUACAAUGGAUAAUCACUGCUUUUGUGGCAGCUUAGUGUGUCAUAUCCACACUCAAUGUAAUACAGAUUACUAAAGGUGAUAUUUAUCAACCACAGCCUAGGCUGUAAUAAUUUUGAGUCCUUAUGUCCUAUGCACAGCAUGGGAACAUAACCAAAUACUUUUCAAAACAAUAAUGUUUCUUCCCGUUGUUGAGACAAGGGAUACGGUGUGUUCAGGAAAAUGAUACGAUUUGUUCAGACAUAGGCUUACCAUAAGCCCUCCAUCUUUCCACUGAAUGUAAUCUGAGGCUUUCCUGUGUUUGGGGAAAGAUUUGCUGGGGACUUAAGUAAAUUAAGGAUGGCUACAUGUUGGAAGAUACAGAGCUUCCAGUACUCACUGUAGUGGUUGUAGGUAUUGUAAUGAACCCUUAUCAGAAUCCCACUUGCCUGAGACCCUGCAUCAAUGAUUAUUUUUCAUCUGAAAGAGGCUUUGCCUGAAUUAGUGUUUUGAUAUGGAACAAUAGUGCAGUUUGGAAGCAAGUCCCCAUAUCGUGUCUACUUGCCGUGCAUCGGAGUGGUUUUGGAAUGCAUUAACCAGGUUCUGUAGGAGUCACCACACAAAAGCUCCGCUCCAGGAACAGCACAACCCCAGCAGGGAUACAAAGAUCCAAAAGAAAGAUUAUUCUUACAGAUAUUCCUGAACCAAAUAUGUGACAGGAGUACUUGGUCCAUAGAACUAUGCUAAAUGUAGUCCAAAGCUAAACUCCGGAAUUGCAUUUAGUGUGUGCUUUGAUCUACUGAUGUGCUCCUAUUGUACAAAAUUACUUGCAGGAUGUUGGCAGAAGUGGCUGGGGUUUAAAUCCCAGGAUUAAAUAUAAAGAUGAGAAACAGGAGAAACGAGAAGCACACCCAUGGCAGUAUCUCAUCAUGUAGUUCAUCCCAAUAGUUCACACCGUGAGCAGCCCUCUACUUGUCCCCCAGCUUCACAUUUGCGUUAGCAGAUACAAAGUUCUGGUCUUCUUUGCCUACCAAAUCCUCGCAGUGAAGACAACCCCUCUUUCCUGCACAGAGGAAUAUGACUGUCAACAGAAGAUUUGUGAAAGUUCACUUACCAGAGAAGGACUAAAGCUAAACCUUGCUAUCAAGAAGUGAGAACAGUAAAUUGUGUGGUAUGGGAAGUCAUUAGUAUGUGCUGCAUGCCUAUGCAUUGCGCUGCAGAUUGAUCUCCCUGCUGUUCAAAGGACAAGGAUACCUGAGACAACCCCAGGGAACUUUAAUUUUAAAUUCCCUCCCUUCCCCACAAAAGUCUUGUCUUCUGAAGAAGGAAACUGGAGGUAAAUGUUCAGGCUUUUCAUCUGUGGGGUGGGGCAGUGAUUCUCAGCCCGUGGCUGCAUGCCAUCAUUUUUGCCACUAUUCUAAAACGGGAAAGGUUUGAAAACUUUCAUCUUAGAAUUAGAAAACAGCUGGGGUGAUUCAAGCACUCCAUGCCCCGUGGCUGUCUGCAAUUUCCUCUUUCUUCAUGAUGAGCACAAGCGUAAUUGUUUGGUUCUGUUAAGGAGAGAAGGUUAUACUUGUUUCUUCCUGAUCAUUAAUAUGCAUCCCUUGGAUUCUGUAUUGGGUUUUUCGUCAAAGAGAAGAGAACCACCAUGAAUGUGGGUGCAAGAAUAAGAGAUUAAGGUCUGGUACAGCCCUGAGACAUGGAGGGAGAUGGGACACAAUGGAUUCAUGGGCUGAAGCAGUACUGAAGACAGGAAUCCUGUUAGGGGACAGGGGGUUCUGCCAUAUGCAGUAGUUCAUAUGGGGUGAGGAAACAAAGGAAUUCUUACAGAAAAGCAGCACUGACAUUGUUUUCAAGUCGAGCUUUUUGUUCCCGUUAGUUCCAUGAAAUUUCAUGGUGUACCCAUCUAAAUUAUUACCUCCUAAUGCUAUUGUUGCUCGGCUUGUUUUUGUGAGAAUGUUAUAAAUCUUAAUUUUUAUGGUGCUUUGCUUGAUAAUGCAUGGAUGUUUGGACACAUGAUUUCCAAUGCUAGUUGGUGUAGUUAGUAUUAUGUUAUAUGUAAUUAAAAUACAUUAAUAUUGACCGAGGUUAUGUGUUUCUACAUUGUCAGCUGAGAGCUUGAAUUCAAUAUGCAUAGAAAUAAAAAGAAGUUUUAUGCACCCUGUGUGCAUGUAGGAAUGAAUUUUGGAAAGUGCUGAACAUUUUAGCUUAAAACUGUUGCAGGAAAGACUUAGAGCACUGAAGUUUCACUCCUUCAUACUAUUUUAUAUCUCAAAUUUUUAAGGGAGAAGAACUCCAUCUGACUUAUAUGUUUCUUUUAUAUGACUAUGGAACGUUCAAAGUGCACAAAAGUUAUAAAUCAGAUCCCAGAAGCAAAGAUAUUGUCCUGGCUUCUUUCUGCUUACUAGAUGCCCUUAAGGAUUCUGUUUUCCAGACUCUUCUACACACUUCAGAAACUCUCUUAUUUGACAGUGAUGACUGCUUUGUAAUUGUCUGAUUCCAGGAGCUGGAUCUUCGUGGAAAAUACAAAAUACUGCAAGGCAAGACCAGCUUCCAAAAUGUGAUGUUUGUAUAUAUAUAUCUGUGCUACAACUAUCUUGGUUGUUGUAGUCUAAUGUGUUCUGUGCUGUCUUAAACGGAAUUUGUUCCAUUUACUCCACCUUAAAUUCUUCACCGUGGUCUGGCUUUUACACAUCUGAAUAUCCAAAAUAAUCCUUUUUUCCGCAUCACAGCAAUCAGGAUGACAUGGGUCUAGGGAGGAAAACACAAGUACGAUAUAGUGGAAACCUUGCCUUAGAUUUAAUUUGGGUAAAAUUAGUCUAGACAUUUUCUUCCUUAUCUUACUGCUUCUCUUCUGUGAAAGGGGAAUGAACGCUAGGAUUUCCAGGUCAGAGUACAGGAACAUGAAUCACACCAGAAGACUGCGGGAAGCUUGCCAGUGCCUGCCUACUCUCCACUUCUGUCUGCUACUCUGUAAUGUGUGUGAGUGUGUGAUCACUGAAUACUACUUCAGAAGAAGGAGAGGAAAAAGACAGGUCUUCCUCUGCAUGGAGAGGGGUAAGAUGAGAAAGCAAGUGACAGAAUGUGAUCCCAAACAACAUGCCUGAGAGAUUCAGUUGUGGCUGCAGCUGCUUGCACUACAUUCAGUUCAGCCCACUGGGCAACAUCAGGAUUUUGCCUUAGUCCCUACGUCUAGUGAAUAGUAGGUCCUUCCCUUCAUGGACAAUUGCAAGGAAUCUGUUCAGAAGUACUACUAUGUGUGCAAGAGAAGAAAAUUUAUGGGGCUGACCAGCUCUCCUUUGCUGAAUACUACCAUCUGCCAGCCAAAGCUCUCCACCAGCUCUCCCCACUGAGCCACCAAUCUUUAUCUCUGUUGAUUUCAACAGGAAUAGCUCUGUAUUGGCUUGGUAAAGGCACAGUAGCCAUGUGAGAUGAGCAUCAAGUCCAUUAGCUGUUCCUUCCUCACUUGGUUUUAGCAGGGGCUGUGCCGGCAGGUAAACUCCUCCGGGCUGUAUAGGAAGCAGCUGAUGCUGUGCUCCCUCCCCUUGCGCUGCGUGGCUCCACCAGCAGCCCUGUGUGCCUCCUUAGUUGCAGGUUAGAGGCAGUAAAAUGUCCCCUUUCUGUCAGUAAAUAGCACUUCUGAGUGUUUCUCAGCUGGCAGCCCCAGGCCCCUGCAGCAUUUUCAUUGAUUUUGCUCGGUGUGUGGAGGGUAAUUUCUGCCUCGGAGGGCGCAGGAGCCCCACGGUGUUCCUGCAGCUUGGGACGAGCCUGCUGAGCAUCACAUCCCUGCUACUCGGCUCCUUCCAGAGAGGCUGUCAGUUCGACUUUGCUUCAAAUCUGCCUCAGUUUAACAAGGCUGUUGUUAGACUGUAAAAUGAAAGGAAAGUUUUCAACUUCUUUGCUUCUCUGACAUGAUUCUGUAUUAUAUGUAUCAAUGCAGACUCGCAAGGCAAGCAGAAGACUACAAGCAGGUCUGUUGUAGGUACCAGUGUUACCACACGAUGCCUCCGGGCUUUUCUCAGAGCUCCCAUCUGCACACCUUGGUGCAAGUGACCUCUUCUGAAGCUGCCUCUGCCUGAAGGCAUCCUGAAGUAUGGAUGGGCCUUUACGAGAGGCAUCUUCCAACUGGGGUCGCUAAAACUCUGACAGCCAAGCCCGACUCUGCUCAUAGCAGGUAUUCGGACAGAGAAAUGAAACAUCAGUUUCACUGCAAGUUCACAGAAGCAGCUUAGGAAGCAGCUUAGAAGCACUCUAGCAUCAGCUUGACUGCUGAAAAAAGGCAGGAGAUUUUAUUAGUGAAAUCCUCUGACACCACCUUUCUGGAGCCUUUUCUGAAGGAGCUCAACAGGAGGUGACUGGUGCAAGGAAAUCCUUCGCUCUGCAAGUGAAGAGCCUGGGGCUGCAGUCCUGGGACUGUAAUGCCCUGCUCAGACGAUCUCAGAGCUCCUAUAGGAAUGUGCUGGGAAUCCUGCAGAGUCAAUGUGUACUCUCUUCACUUUAUAAAUGAAGAAACAAAGUCACAGGCUGGCUUAUCUGUGGCAAGCAGACUCUGUUCAACUGGCCUGUGAGGCUGCCUUUCUGCAGGCAGAGGAGAAAGGUGUCUGCGAUAUCUUGGUUUUGUUCUUCCUAUCUGAAAGCUGUUGGUAUGUACCUAAAGAGUCCAUCGGGGAGAGAUCCUGCCAUUUCUAAAGAGGAAGGUAAGACUUUUCCAGAAUAUUUGGGGCCACUUUCAUGCUUUCAGUGCUCACAGACCAAACUGGAGAAGGUUUCUUGGUGCUCAGUUCCACUGAGGUCAGUGAAAGUCACCUAUGCUCGGUAUUUCUUAGAUGAGCGAAGCUGCCACAGAACCACUCCAGAAGUUCCCCCAGCUUGCAGAAUUACUUGUUGUGGGUUUGUCUCUUCCUAAGAACGAAUUCCAGCUAUUGCACAUCUCCCCAUUCAUUGCUCUGUGCCCGCAGCUUUUGGCAUAUGGGCUGUUUUGUGGAAUGCUGGUUUGUUUUUUUUUUGCACUUUGUCAGGCCCCUGAAGUUACAUAAUGCUUUGUGUGUUUCCCAAGUGAUACUUUUUAAACUGAAUUGUGGCAAACGCUGUAGCUUGGGUAGGAGCAUUCACGUAUACCCCUGUAUGUGUCAGACAUGACCAUGCAUAAGCUAAUAUCCAUACUUCAACCUCAAGCAAUCAAAAAUCUUCUACCAGGACAUUUAAAAAAAAUAUUAUAAAAACAAACAAACCAAACCAAACCAAAACAACAUCAACAACAAAACCCCACAUGAGAUUAAUGAAACCGUGGUUCUUUUUCUUUUCUUUUAUUUUUUUCCACUGUUCUCCACAAAUGAAAAAAAAAACAAAUAUACUUACAGUUCCUUCUCAUGAAACAAAGGUUCUUGGACAGUCUUGUGGCCAGAGAAACUGGGGCUUUAAGAAGAAGUUAUAAAACUGAGAUUCAUUACAAGAUCUAGAGAGUGGACAAAGCACUAGCACUUACCCAUAUACAACAGCUUUUGUUGUAAGCAACAGGAAAAGGAAAAAAUCAAAUACCACACAUGAAUUCUGAAAAUUCACUGUUUUUCACACACGCACACACACACACACAAAUAAAACCCCUAACCCAAGUCAUUUAUUUAUAUUAUUGUCUUCCAGCAGCUUUUCCACUGGCUAAUUUUUCUAAACUACUUUGAGAUCCUAGGGUCAAACACAAAAUGAGGAAUAAAUUUCAGAGAGCACAGGGAAAGAGAACUUUACUGUGUGUGAGAAUAACUAAUGAAAAAUUCUGGCAAUAACUAAUUUGUCUCUUUCACUGGUCUCCUGCUCAUCUUUAACACUGUGUCCCUUUUUCUUUUCAGAAUCUGAAUGUUUUCAUUAGAAUAAAUGAUGUGACUCUGAGGAUAACCUCGCUAUGUGGUAUUAUUUAUAAGAGAAAAGGAAGAGAUUUUUCUCCAUUGGAUGUAACUUCACAACGUUGCGGUUUGUCCUAGUUUUAUCAAGCCAAUGCAGGUUUCCAGAGGGGCCCUGUGCACAACCCUUGCUCUGCAGCAGCGCUGGCACCACACCGAUGCUGAAGCCCUGUUCUCUAGCAGACUCUGUGCUGGACUACCCUGGUGUUCCCUCUUCCCCUGUACUUCAUAUCCAGCAUGCUGUGCUGAGGCUUGUAACUCAUCUCAUUGUCAUUUCAGGUUACAGAGCUCUGAUCUUCUGCUGUUCUUUCCUAAACACAUGUGCUCUGAAUGCCUCCCAUUUGCGUUAACCCACAAUUCAGUAAAUGGUAGAGUAAACAACCAGAGAGACUGCAGCAUUGCAAUUGUUAGUCUCCUUUUGCACAGCAGUGUACACCCACUAAGUAUUGUUAGAUAUUUAAUCCACAACCAUAAAACCCAUUCACAGCUUAAGGCGUUUUCUUUUCCUAAGACCACCUCAAAAAACCCCCAUACAAUUAGUAGUUAUAAAACCAACAUUUCUAGCGACUGAUUUUGUUGGCUCCUUCCUUCCCUUUUGGCCUUGCUGCUUGCAUCCCACUUAAUUUUUAAUAUCUUUCCUUGGUUUUGUCUCUUGUUCUGAAGUUCCUCUGCAGAGCAGCAUUGUCCUGCAUGACCAGUUUGCUGGUGCCCAGGUACUAUGUAAAGACAACUUGAGAUAUUAUGUAUGCGUCUUGUAAGUUUGGGAAGGGUCUCGUGUCUACAUCAUAUUUUUUUUUCUUCUCUGCAACUCUUCUAAAUAAGUUAAUGAAAAAUGAGUUGUGUGGUGAUCAUCCCUUUGGUUACCUUAGCAAUUUAAUAACCAGCUGCUGGCCUUCAGUGUGAAGUGCCAGGUCCUUUGGUGCCUGACGUUGAGAGCAAGCCUGGGGCUCCUCACUUCAGCUCUGCCCCUUGCCUCGAUUGCUCAGGCUUUUCCCCUCUUUAUGAUUUCCAGUUUCUUUUCUGUUUUGGUCUCUGACAAUGCCUAGGUCAUCGGUGUCUGAGAGCAGAGGACGUGAGGGGCUGUCCAAACUGAAGCCAGAUUCCCCGAGAAUUCAAUAUCCAACGUCGGAUUCACUUCUGACAGCUGCCCAGCAGAGCCCAGCAGUGGUGGUGGCAGUGUGAGAAGCAGGAGAGAGAGGAAGGGAUGCUGAGGAGCAGGGCGGUCGCAGCGUGGUCAGGAGAGGUGGCCAAGUCCAACAGGGGAUCUUUGCUAACACAGUGGCAUAGCUGUGUGCUCAUCCCCAGGUCUGCACGUCUUGCACACUGGAUUAGCAGAGGCAUGCUAAAAGGAGCAGACUCAGGCCUUCGCUGGAGCCCUGGGAACAGCUCUCCAGCACAUGAGAAAGGAAACACCUAGCAGAGGGAGGACCUCAGCCCUUUAUAUUCAUAAGGAAAAGCCUGUUGCAAAGACAGACAUGGAAGACAAAGUUUAUUUGCAGCCCAGCAAUGAAAAUGAGUUUCAAGGAGACAUAUUUUGUGGCUGCUUUACUGAAAAUAUACGGACUUCAGUACGCUCACUUGUUAUGUCACUCUGGAAUUUUGUAGUGCAGCUCAGAGUUCCUACUUCACCCUUUUCCUCUACCCACUCUUGCUUGGCAGCUUGAUCAUCUGAGCAUUCAUUUUGGAGCCCUGACAAAUUCCUGAACAAAACAGCAAUCGCUGCUCUGUGAUUUCCACAAGGUUCUCUCGUGUUCCCAUGCACCUGCACCCCCAGAGACUGAACGUCUCAUAUCCCUUUAUGAGGAAAUGGCUACUUCUGAGUUAAACUAUUGCUAGGGUGGAAGAAGAAAGCCCAUCAAACCGUCGUGUUUAUUGAAGCAUUCAGUGAACUUAGAGUGCAUGUUAAUUGUAUGUACCAUAAAACUGAAAUACUGCAAUAGCUUUAUUGGAACCGGAUGCUUUAAAGUCAUUUAAGCCUAAACACAUUUAAUUCAUGACAGAGUUUCCUGUUUCUGGGUCCUGAGCAUCCUACUGGUGUUAGUAUGGGGGAAAGAAGAAGCACAAAGAUAACAUCACGAGAACUUUAAUGACUUUUCAUCCCUUUCACAAAUGAAGGAGCAGCCUUAUACAUGUGUGGAAAUGUGAUGAUGGAGUGGCUUUAAAAGCAGGGUUGGAAAGGAAAGACUUUCAAGAAGGGCAGUGCACCAUCUUGUCCUGUGCCUGCUCAGUCUCUUGUACUUCGUAUCUUGGGUCCAGGUCCUGUGUUCUGACCAUGCUCUGCUUCCAGAAAAUAGCUGCAUGAAUUCUCUUCUCUGAAGGUUUGGAGGAAGAACAACCCAAGCCAAAAUCUGGGGACUAAUUCUGGAAUUGACAACAUGGCAAUAAAAGUAUUUCCCUCCAGUUAUGAACAGGCUGAAAAGUAGACACUCCAGAUAUGCUACCUUAUUUUCAGUGGCUUAUUAAUAAUGUGUACAGUUAUUUCUCCUCCAUAACACUAUCAAAAGCAGCUUGUUUAAAAACAACACGCAGGCAAAUGUAUCCUUCCUUUUUAUAGCAGGAGAGAGAAGGAUGAGUGUCAGUCAGUCAAGACUGGUUCCAAAAACAUCUCCAACGAGGCUCCUACAGAGUAAGUGAUGUUGGCCAGGGGCCAUCUGGAGUACACAGGGCUAUAACUCUUUACAGAGUGUUUGUUAUGGAUUUCUACAGCGGAGAUAUUUACCCCAGAAGAACAAACAGAUCCCGCUACUGUGUUUCCUUGUGCUUCGUAGAAGUGCUUAAACUAUUCACAGUGUUGCCUAAUACCGUCUAGAUUAGUUUCAUUUUCUGUGCAUUCUUUCAUCCCACUCUGUGUUAGGGUCAGUGUGGAUGCAAACUGCCCAAAACAACGCAUCUAAUUCCCUUGGUACCCCAGUGUUGUUGCAAAAUCUCACAAUCGCCCCUCAGGGAGUAUGGCAGCGGUCUGCAGAAAGCAUCCCAACUCACUUGCUCCAGAGCAGUGUGACUGCAGAGAUAGCCAAACUUGGAAGCAAUUUAGCCUGCGCACUCUGCAAAUGUCCUCGAGCUUAAUCCAGUGCAGUGCUUCAGGGUUAUUCACCAGUGAUUUCUGCUUUGGACAAAGCCUGGGAAGUUUAUGUUCAGGACACAACCCUCCUGAAAGCUUUUGCACCUCUUUGUUGGAAUAAGAGUGUUAGGAUUUCAGUGUACCUCCAGGAGGAGGUAUGAAUUCCCUGUCCUUGGGUGAUAUAGGAAGCUCAAGGUAAACUAAGGAGUGAAUUUCACUUGAUGGAAUAACUAAGUCAUUUUUGGCUUUAUCAUAACCCCAGGAUGUUUGCCUUAUUCAGAGUUUUCUUGUGUAGUUUGAUAUUGCUUCUUUGCUUCCUUUAAGAGAUAUUUCAUACAUUUUUUUCAACUUUUUACGUACCUGUAGUGCUUAAGGAAUUAUUCGACUUAGAACACAAAGCAACAGAAAGUAACUGUCUGUGGACAAAACCAAUUAUUUUAAUCAUUUAAACUAUUAUUUUAAAUGUUCAUAUAAUCUUUCAGGAUCUCCACAUGAUACUAAGAUGAUUUAUUCUCCUAUGAAGAGCAACUUACAGCUAUUUUGGUUCCGAGAGGACAGGGAGCUGGAGAGCCCUUGUGGCAGCGGAGGGACCCGAACUGCAGGGACUGUGUGUGAGUGGUGUCUGCUGCAGGAAAUUUGGCAGAAGAAAGCACAGGGAGAGGAGUGUGGGCUGCAGGAAGGUGGGCAGGGAUUCUGGCUGGGAUGAAGGUCUGGGACUCUGACUGGAGAUGCAGGGACAUCGUGGUAUUAGAAAGCAGAGAGAUUUCUGGGGAAGAAAGAGGCAUCACAUGAAAAAGAAAUAAGCUGUGUGACUGAUCAGUGCACCAGUGAGAAGGCGUCCUUGCACCAACGAUUCUUCAGAGGCCAGCACCACUGGCCUGGUGCUCAGUAUUUGUUUUUCUUUUCCUUGCUUGUUAAUUAUUGAAGCCAAUGGCCAUUAAGGCAGUGGACCUCCUGCUAUUGGGUUUAUCUCUCCUUUUACAGUCCUGUCAAGCAGCAGUAAUGUAGAUAAGCUGCUGGGUGGCGGCUCUUCAGACAGCAAUUAAAACUAUACUCAGAAUUACAAGGAAAAAUUCAGCUGCAUUGAUAUUGGAAAUAAACUUUAAGUAGAAGAGAAAUCAGUUUAACCCUGGCAGUCAAAUGGAAAGGCUGAGCUCUGCUGGGUCACCUCCUGCCUGACUUACUUAAGGUUUAGGCAGACCUAGUAAAACUUAUAAUAAAGGUAGGGCUUUGCCAAGAAUUACGCACUUAUUGCAUAAUGUCACCAAAGCAAGCCCCCCUAUAAAACAGUCGGUUCCUGAUAAGCUUUUCUUUUCUACCACGGUACUUCCACUGAUUUUAGCAGGGCUCAAGAGCCCCAUGCUUACACAGCAGCACAGACACGUGCCCUCUGUCAAAGGGUCCGUACUCUUUGGCUGAACCACAAGAGGCUUCUGUAGUCUUUUGCUGGGAAUCUUGACACUAUCUAUUAUUUACAGUUCUGUGAAAGGAAUUCAAGAGUUGAGGGCAGCAGAAAGGAUGCAAUCUGGAAGGGUGAAAAUGUUACCUUUCUUACAGUGUGUGUAACUGGGAAGGUUCAGUCUCACAAGGAGCAAACAUACCACUUUCAUAUCCAUCCUGCCAAAGGAUGCGAAUGGCACUGCUUAUUAGGGUGUUUCAUCUGAAAUGACAAACUUCAGAGGCCAGGGCAAUUUGAGGACAACUUAAAUGUAAGAAGAUGUAUUGGGAGACAAGGGGAAGGAUUAGAGUCUGGAGGAUUAGAAGGUGGGACAGAAGAUGCCUUGCUGCAGAGGCGCCGUUGUUCUGGUAGCUGGAUGUGACACAGACAAUGCCUUGCUGUGCAUCAAGGGCAGAACAUACGUCUGCCUCUGGAGCAGGGCGUACACCUACUAAUCCCUCAGGAGCAGCUGCUUAAUUAAUAAAGCCAUGAAGAAAACUCUCUUUGGCUUUGUCUCUCCGUUUUUCUGACUUCAGGGUCGAUGAG
Long non-coding RNA from Anas platyrhynchos (mallard), 12884 nucleotides. RefSeq lists it as uncharacterized. NCBI's taxonomy places the organism in Eukaryota, Metazoa, Chordata, Aves, Anseriformes, Anatidae. The record is from RefSeq and is a predicted model, not a curated record.